GGGUCUGGAUUAUGGCUCAGAUUGAACGCUGGCGGGAUGCUUUGCCACAUGCAAGUCGAACGGCAGCACGGACUUCGGUCUGGUGGCGAGUGGCGAACGGGUGAGUAAUGUAUCGGAACGUGCCUAGUAGGAUAACUACGCGAAAGCUGUAGCUAAUACCGGCAUGGCCGCCCUCGGGGGAAAGCGGGGGACCUUCGCCUCGCAUCAGAGCGGCCGACACGGGAUUAGCCAGUUGCGGGUGGCUCACCAAGGCGACGAUCCGUAGCUGUUCGAGAGGACGACCAGCCACACUGGGACUGAGACACGGCCCAGACUCCUACGCCGGGAGGCAGCAGGGGAAUUUUGACAAUGGGGAAACCUCGAUCCAGCCAUCCCGCGUGUGCGAUGAAGGCCUUCGGGUUGUAAAGCACUUUUGGCAGGAAAGAAAGAAACGGCACGGGAUACUCCCGUGCAACUGACGGUACCUGCAGAAUAAGCACCGAUGCUAACUACGUGCCAGCAGCCGCGGUAAUACGUAGGGUAAGCGUUAAUCUGAAUUACUGGGCGUAAAGGGUGCAGGCGGUUCGGAAAGAAAGAUGAAAUCCCAGAGCUUAACUUUGAAACUGCAUUUUAAUCACUGAGCUAGAGUGUGUCAGAGGGAGGUGGAAUUUCGCGUGGGUAGUAAAUGCGUAGAUAUGCGGAGAACAACGAUGGCGUAAGGCAGCCUCCGGGAUAACACUGACGCCUAUGCACGAAAGCGUGGGGAGCAAACAGGAUUAUAUCUGGUAGUCCACGCCCUAAACGAUGUCAACUAGCUGCUGGGGCCUUCGGGCCUUGGUAGCGCAGCUAACGCGUGAAGUUGACCGCCUGGGGAGUAAUGGUCGCAAGAUUUAAAACUCAAAGGAAUUGACGGACCCGCACAAGCGGUGACGAGAUUGACCUGAUGCAACGCGAAAACCUUACCUACUCCUUGAUAUGUUCAAUCCGAAGAGAUUUGGAGUGUCAAAAGAGAACCGGAACACAGGUGCUGCAUGGCUGCCGUCAGUCGCUGAGAUAAUGGGUUGGAGUCCUGGGCAACGAGCGCAACCUGCCGGUUAGUUGCUGUUUGGCGAAAGGCAUCACUCUGACGAGACUGUCAGGACACAACCGGAGGAAGGUGGGGAUGAUAGUCGUCAGUGCUCAUGGCCCUUGCGGGUAGGGCUUGACACGUCAUACAAUGGUCGGGGACGAGGUCGCCAACCGCGAGGGAGCUAAUCCUGAAACCCGGAUCGUAGUCCGGAUCGGGCAGUCUGCAAACUCGACCGCGAAGUCGGAACGCUGCACCGUGACCAGCAUGUCGCGGUGAACACGCCCCGGCCCGCACACAACGCCCGUCACACCAUGGGAGUGGGUUUUACCAGAAGUAGUUAGCCAACUGCAGGAGGGCGAUUACCACGGCAGUAGGAUUCAUGACUGGGGUGAAGUCGUAACAAGCGUGG
This 1457-nucleotide ribosomal RNA is filed under the name uncultured Bordetella sp. RNAcentral describes it as "partial 16S-23S ribosomal RNA intergenic spacer". It matches the Rfam family "Bacterial small subunit ribosomal RNA". Lineage: Bacteria; Pseudomonadati; Pseudomonadota; Betaproteobacteria; Burkholderiales; Alcaligenaceae. The record is from RNAcentral.